Molecule: long non-coding RNA, 378 nt
Filed under: Pan troglodytes (chimpanzee)
Lineage: Eukaryota; Metazoa; Chordata; Mammalia; Primates; Hominidae
Description: long non-coding RNA NONPTRT011471
Source: RNAcentral
CAUAGCAAGACCCUGUCUCUACAAAAAAUUAAAAAUAUAUCUUUUUUUCAGUUUAUUGUUUACUGUUUGAAUAUUGAAAAUUCUUACUAUAGAACUAUAAUAGUCUUGAGAAGUUGCAACUGUUAUGCAUACCCACACUCAAACUAUUUCAUACAAAUAAGGUUCUAGCUUUAAUUUUAAAUGCCUCGAGGCAAACAGCACAGUCUUUUUCUGGCUCAAAUAGAUCCAAUUACCUCUAAUGACCCUGCUACAGUUUAUUGAGUGUCUAUGAUCCAGGUGCUUUUGCUGAAGUCUAAAGUCAUAUUUUAUAUCAUUUUGUGAGAAGUCAUCGACCAAAUGAAUAAAAAUUACUGAGACUUUCCUCCACAUUACUAUUUC